UGAAGGCCAGGCUGAAGACUUUGCCGGAUUAGCUGAGAGGUGGUGCAUGGCCGUCGUCAGUUCGUACUGUGAAGCAUCCUGUUAAGUCAGGCAACGAGCCGAGACCCACGCCCACAGUUGCCAGCGUACUCUCUGGAGUGACGGGUACACUGUGGGGACCGCCGCUGCUAAAGCGGAGGAAGGAAUGGGCAACGGUAGGUCAGUAUGCCCCGAAUAUCCCGGGCUACACGCGAGCUACAAUGGUUGGUACAAUGGGUAUCUACCCCGAAAGGGGACGGGAAUCUCCUAAAACCAAUCUUAGUUCGGAUUGAGGGCUGCAACUCGCCCUCAUGAAGCUGGAAUCCGUAGUAAUCGCGUUUCAACAGAACGCGGUGAAUACGUCCCUGCUCCUU
Molecule: ribosomal RNA, 392 nt
Filed under: uncultured Methanosaeta sp.
Lineage: Archaea; Methanobacteriati; Methanobacteriota; Methanomicrobia; Methanotrichales; Methanotrichaceae
Description: bacterial SSU rRNA
Rfam family: Archaeal small subunit ribosomal RNA
Source: RNAcentral